CGCUGCUGGCGGCGCGAUUGGUGGCGCGGGUGCGCGGCGUGCUGGGACGGGUGCUGGUCAUCCGGUCGGUGUUCGAGGCGCCGCGGCUGCGG
RNAcentral lists this transfer RNA (92 nucleotides) under Paraburkholderia domus. Its description in RNAcentral is "Paraburkholderia sp. LMG 31832 tRNA-Pro". The record is from RNAcentral. Lineage: Bacteria; Pseudomonadati; Pseudomonadota; Betaproteobacteria; Burkholderiales; Burkholderiaceae.